CGACAAUCUAUGUCAACACUGAAAUCUUAGUUUGGAUUGCCUUUAUGUGAGAAGAAGCGUAUUUAUUUGUUACGUUUUUACCGGGUUAACGGAGAGAAAGAAAGGAUUGCUAAAAUAAAUUAUGAACGAAAUCAUUGAUCGCUGUGUGCCUCACAUGCCUCAAAAUGUAAACGAAAUCAAUAGCGAAAGAAACGAUUGCUAUAAUUAAUCAUGAACGAACCCAUUUAUCGCCGUGUGCCUCAAAGACAGACAUGCGCAGAACUAUGUCCAGAUGAAUUCAGCGAUCUCGCAGUAGAAGUUAUAAAUAUUUCGUGUGAAUUAAGUAACACACAAAGCAGUUCGCAAGCUGUUCGUUUGGACAAUGACUGCAAUUCAAAGUAUAUUUUUUCAUCAGAAUUGACCUGUAGUCAAGAAGAAGUUCCAUUGUCUACCAUCAGUCACAAUGGUAAGGAGGCGAAAAGAGAAAAUGCAGGCGAUACAGAAUCGCCUCAUUCGGUCGCUAUGCAUAAAGUAGCAGCGGGAGAAUUGACAAGUUGUGAAGUUAAAAUGGUUAAUGCGACUGAAGCACAAAAUGGAGAGACACUAACAUUAACAUGCUCUGGAGAACGAGCUGAACUUAUAAAUGAGGAAGAUUUGAUGCCUGUGCACAACGUGCUACCAUUUAAAGAAUGUGGAAACUUUGAUUACACAGAUGUGCAUGAAAGUGCCUUUAUGAAAAUUUAUCAAAUCAGCAACACAUACAGUGGGGCAGAUGGAGGACCCGUUAAUUCAACCGUAGGCAACUUUCGUGACACUUCAUGUGCAUUCGGUAGUUCACAAUUACCUAAUGGUUUCGGAUUUCAGACUUCAAGAAAUUGCAUAG
Molecule: long non-coding RNA, 862 nt
Organism: Dreissena polymorpha
Lineage: Eukaryota; Metazoa; Mollusca; Bivalvia; Myida; Dreissenidae
Exons: 4
Source: RefSeq, a predicted model, not a curated record